GGAUUGCGAGGUGGAGGAGGUGGCAGUGUGCGAGGUGGAGGUGGAGGUGGAGGAUUGCGAGGUGGUGGUGAUACUGGAGAUUUUGGAGGUAAUGUAGGAGAUCUAGGUGGAAGUGAUUGUGGUGGUGAUACUAGAGAUUUUGGAGGUAAUGUAGGAGAUCUAGGUGGGAGCGAUUGUGGUGGUGAUACUGGAGAUUUUGGAGGAAACAUGGGUGAAGAUCUUGGCGGCAAUGUAGGAGAUCUAGGUGGGAGCGACUGUGGUGGUGAUACUGGAGAUUUUGGAGGUGGUGACGAUGGGGAUUUAGGAGGAAACGUGGGUGGAGAUCUUGGGGGCAAUGUAGAAGAUCUAGGUGGGAGCGACUGUGGUGGUGAUACUGGAGAUUUUGAAGGUGGUGACGAUGGGGAUUUAGGAGGAAACGUGGGUGAAGAUCUUGGCGGCGAUGUAGGAGAUCUGUGUGGUGGUGAUACUGGAGAUUUUGGAGGUGGUGACGAUGGGGAUUUAGGAGGAAACGUGGGUGGAGACCUUGGCGGCGAUGUAGGAGAUCUAGGUGGGAGCGACUGUGGUGGUGAUACUGGAGAUUUUGGAGGUGGUGACGAUGGGGAUUUAGGUGGAAAUGUAGGUGGAGAUCUUGGCGGCGAUGUGGGAGAUCUAAGUGGGAGUGAUUGUGCUGGUGAUACUAGAAAUUUUGGAGGUG
Molecule: long non-coding RNA, 694 nt
Filed under: Ricinus communis (castor bean)
Lineage: Eukaryota; Viridiplantae; Streptophyta; Magnoliopsida; Malpighiales; Euphorbiaceae
Description: long non-coding RNA (RCOM_LNC000349)
Source: RNAcentral